RNAcentral lists this ribosomal RNA (394 nucleotides) under uncultured bacterium. Its description in RNAcentral is "partial 16S ribosomal RNA". It matches the Rfam family "Bacterial small subunit ribosomal RNA", at positions 338 to 729 of the family's 1533-position model. The record is from RNAcentral.
CCUACGGGAGGCAGCAGUGGGGAAUAUUGCACAAUGGGCGCUAGCCUGAACCAGCCAAGUAGCGUGAAGGAUGACUGCCCUCUGGGUUGUAAACUUCUUUUAUAUGGGAAUAAAGUGGAGUAUGUAUACUGCUUUGCAUGUACCUUAUGAAUAAGGAUCGGCGAAAUCCGUGCCAGCAGCCGCGGGAAUACGGAGGGUCCGAGCGUUAUCCGGAUUUAUUGGGGUUAAAGGGAGCGUAGAGGGGUUGUUAAGUCAGCUGUGAAAGUUUGCGGCUCAACCGUAAAAUUGCAAUUGAUACUGGCAGCCUUGAGUGCAGACAGGGUAGGCGGAAUUCGUGGUGUAGCGGUGAAAUGCUUAGAUAUCACGAAGAACUCCGAUUGCGAAGGCAGGCUAC